RNAcentral lists this ribosomal RNA (121 nucleotides) under Octodon degus (degu). The record is from RNAcentral. Lineage: Eukaryota; Metazoa; Chordata; Mammalia; Rodentia; Octodontidae.
GUCUACAGCCAUACCACCCUGAAUGUACCCGAUGUCAUCUGAUCUCAGAAGCUAAGCAGGGUCAGGCCUGGUUAGUACUUGGAUGGCAGACAAAUAUCUAGACACAAGAAAAAUGUAUACA